CUUGCAAAUAUCAUUAAUAGGUUAACAUACCCUUCUGAACAUGUCAGCCUCUCUGUCAUUUUAAGAUGGAGCAGCAUCUGUCUCCAAAUCUCUUCUCUCUCCAUUAUCAUUUAAAAGUACACCUAUUUAUACCUUAGGUGUCAUCAUUUUAGGGUUACCGUUGUUCAAAUAUGCAAAAGUAACACUUCUUUUACUUUAUUCCUUUUAGGACCUCCCUUAAUUUGGCAAACAUACAAGGCCAUAACUAAAGGGUGCAAACGUCAUGGAAAUUUUCCUGACUUAGUUCAAGAUGGCAUCUUAAAGUCUGAACAUCCUUAUCUACUAAGGUUACCACAGUAUAUUGUGUACUGCAAGAGUCGUAGUAUAGCCUUGAAGCUUGUUUAUGCAUUAUUGUUAUUGUAAUUCGUCUGGGACAAAAUGGCGCAAACAUAUUAUGCACUGAGGUUAUUGCUUAAAGAAACAGUUAUGAAAAACAAUAUGUUCCAUUUCUAACACCUUGUCAGUUUGCAAUAUCUCUUAAAGACAAAGUACACAGUUUAAGAAAUACAACAUUUCAUUCUAAAACUUGUAAUAUUUGCAUUUGCCCAUAACAAGGCAGUCCUUGGUUCAAAAAUAGGCAUAAUGGAACCACAGCAACGUUUCGACCUUCUUGGUCUUUAUCAUUUAAAUAUCCUGUCUGUUUUUGCCUUUUCCACACCUAUAUCUCAGGCAAGUAUUUCCAAGUAUAUAUUGAUAGCUGACCCAUAUUACUCCUGGCCUCUGCCAUCGUAAGCACUUGGCAGUCUUAGGUGCCACAAACUACCAUCAUUAUUAUGCUCUUGUGCAUGCGCAAGGAAACAAAAUGAGGGUUUAUGGAAUAUCUCAUGAGCCUGCGCUUGUGCAGUGAGAUGCCAUAGGUAACGAUUUCACAUUGCACAAGGUGCCAAUCAUCCAUUUCUACGUGAGAUAAAGCGUCCUCCUUGGAUUUUGUCUAUUGUGUUUUUUUGACUGAGUUGGAAAUUCAGAGGCGGGUCUGUGUUGCAUAGCAACACUGGAGCUAAAUAGAUUUAGGACAAGAGUGACCAGGGAAUACAUUCCAGCUGUAUCAGAACUACAACUCUCUUCAUGCAUUACCAGCUGUAAGGCUGGCAAAGCAUCCUGGGAGAUGUAGUUUUGUUACCUUUAGAAAUCUAUGUCCCUAAAUAGCAACUAAUCACCCCUGUUUUAGUGCAGUUGUAUUUCACUGUAAAUGCAAACCUGGGAAAAAUGGAUUAUCAUAUAACAAAAUAAGCAACUUCCAAACACAGCCUGUGGACCUAUCUGCCAUCACAAUAAGUAACAUGCUACCUGUGACUAGAGCAGCUGCCAGUAGCUCCAUGUUAAACUGGCUAACAGUCCGAUAGUCUCCAUAUAAAUGCAACACUCCGGGACUAGUUUCCACCUGGCGGAAGGAUAACAUGGACACCAUAGUCCGGCUCUCCUGCGCUCCCAAGUUAUGUGGACUCACCCCCUUGAUACAAGUGUCGCUUUGUGACCUAAGACGCCCCAUCCACUUUUGUUUGUGGCUCUGUGAUGUCAUUAGCGCUUGGCUGUAGUAGCUGGAAGCCGCUCUGGCUGCACUGUGUGCGGAUCCUGCAGGGCUCCAGGAGGGUGGUAUUAGGUGUCUGGUACCAGGUACAAACCAAAGAAAAGUUACCUGUGUGCUAUCCCAAAUCCCUAUGCAUACUUAAACAAAUGGAGGUUUCUUGUUUCACUUAGAUGUAAGCACACCUGCCACAUCAAGACAAACCUAUUAGGUGGGUCCUACACUAACAUUCACCUUGGUACCUUCAGCGAAAAAAAUCUCUGAGACAGAGAGGGGUAUUUUUUAUACACAUCCCUACAUGCUUAUUAAACCUUAAUAGGGAACACAUGGAAUGGGCAGCAGCAUUGUAACAUAGCUGUGUGAUACAAACUGAAUACAAAUACACAAAAAUAAGUCCUGCGCUCAGACUCACUACUCCUAGGCAGCAGCAAUGACCAUAGUUCACAUCAGCCCCAAUACAUACAAUAAAACCAAAGAAAAGAGUUGUCUGCGCACUAGCCCAAAUCCCUAUGCAUAUUUAAACACGUCCAGGGUUGUUCACUAAACUCACAAGUUAAAUACAAAUGGACAACUGAACUAAAAUUUUGUGAGAUCUGAACAGGAGAAUUUUUUCAUAGCAACUUUUGUUUCGUCUCAGUAUUCCAUAUAGAUUUAAUUCAAUAAUAUUUGAGUUUUAGUGAAUAAGCGUGUCGAUGUCAAGUGCCUCAGUCUGAAAUAAUUUUGUGUCAGGACAGGUAGACUGGGCUACUGCUUUGUUUUUAGACUUCCACACCUUUAGAUAUAAUGUGAGCCAUUUUUAGCUUGAUGUAUUACACUAUAGUAACCUGACAUGCUAUAUCUUGCGCAGUGGGUAAUUGCCACUAUAUGAGAAUACAAUGUAUAGUGCCAUCUUUUGUUUCUCCAUAAAUAUAAAUUCCGCGGAGGAACAAAUGCAAAAAUAUGACCAAGCGACUCAGAGCCCAUUAUGUCUUGUCAGGUCAAAACAACGCUCGACUCUGCAGACCCUUCUGCCACCACUGGGAAUAGACACACACACUCAAAUGGCUCACAAGGAAUUUGAAAGUUCCCAGCCUGAGAUUGCAAGACAUGAGGCAGACUAAGAGAACAAAACAUGGGUGCCAUUAGUUUAAUCUUGUUCCACGUAGACGAAGCAUGAAAUGGCUGUAUUGGCAUUUCCAAAAUGGAUUUCUUUCAUUCUGUUUUAUGAUUAUAUGAAGAUCAAAUGUAAAAAAUUCAAUUACAAUAAAUAACAAAAAUACAUUUUAUAGCGUUAAAGGGACACUUACAUGGUUUUCCAUUGGACUCCGAGACUUCUAGCUCUUCUGCUGCCAUGCUUCCGGCUUCUACAGAGCUGCAGAUCCAGUCGCCAUUCAUUAUCUAGGAGUGUCAGGUGAUCGUUGUCUUCUUCUAGGCUUGCUAAUGACACUGGUGGAGGUGGAGGGGGUUAAGCUCCAUGUAUGCAGCUUUUCAAAGUGAAAUGCUGUGCAUAGACACUCCAGGCAUCAUGACCACUUCGUAUCACUUAAAUGCUCAUAGUGUCUGGAUUAUAGUUAAUCCAGCACGCAGAAUUGUAUCACACCUAAAUACUAAGGAUAACGUCUAACCAUACCUUAGAAUGGCCGGACUCAACGUACCUGAGAAUAGUCAAAAUAUUUGCCGAUGGUCAGGGACACAGAAUGAGACGCAACGAUGAGGAAAGCAGGUCAAGUCAAGGAUAACAGAAGUCAGGAAAGUCAAACAACAGAAAAAACACGAUCAGGAACACACUCUCAGAUAACCAGCUAGUGGAAACCACGAUAGGGCACUGGCAAAAAGGUAAUUUGGGUUUAAAUAACCCUCUAUAGGCUGUAAUAAGCUGUCUGUGAUCUCUCACCCCAAAACGUGCAUGCAUGUCUAUUAUUUAAUGUUGCAUGCACGUUGGCACUAUCUUUAAUGUGGGCAAAGGUAAGUUUAUUAUACAAUCCUGAUCCGCAGCGGCCGGCGUUCCUAAGAACGUCGUACCCGCUGGGGACGGGAACGAAGAGAGACAGGGCAGCUGCCUGCCAUGACCAAGGUAAGUUUGAAACCUUUCUGUCAGUGUGGCUGCCUAGAAAAUGUGCAGCCACGCCGACAGAAGAGCCAAGAGCCGUGACACAUGGUGCUUGGAGUAACCCUUUAAAUGUCUGAAUGUCCUGCAAAAUUAAAGGCUGUGCAGUAAUUGCGAUGCGCUCUCAUUACUCCAAGAAGUGACUGAUACUAAACUUUAACACUGUGGAACUCUUUAUAUUAGAAGAGUGUGUCCUCUUAUUAUUAUUUAAUUUUGCAAAAAGUGCAGAUUUUUUUAAUUAAAACUGGCACUUUUAUAAAUUAACCAGGUUGCUCCCUGCUAUUUUAACUUGUAAAAUCCUGACAGGCGGAGGAGAGGGAGUCUGAUCAGUGUGAUCAUACAGAGUAGGCUACGGUGUCAGUUUUCUCUUGCUGCUGCACAAUGAUAACCCUGUUUCUGUCAUUAUUAUUAUUAUUAUUAUCAUUUAUAUAGCGCCAACAGAUUCCGUAGCGCUUUACAAUAUCAUUAGUGGACUGAUCUGAAACUGAGAUGAGUGGGUAAGGGAUGGGGGUGAAUAAACUCCCCUUGAUGAGAGGUGUGCCCAACAAUGCAAUCUGACCAAGUUCAUAAUAAGUUUAUGAACAGUUAAUAAAUACUUCAAAGUUCAAAGUUUCUUGCUUUCAUUUGGUUUCCAUAUUUGUAAAAGGAGCUUGCUGGUUUCAUCACCUAAGCAGCACACGAAUGCCUAUGCCAUCAUGCUUUGAAGGGCUUUAAUGCCCGUUGACAGGAAAGACUGUCAUGCAGUAAAGGUGUCUUUCGAUACCUGGGAGUCCCCUCUUUCAGCUGCGACACUGACUCCAGACUAACAGAUGAGCUAGGUGCAGCACUGAAAGUUAGCGCUGUGCAUAGCCAUUGAAAUGCUCCUCCCCUGUCAUGGAGACUCCCAGGGUCUUAAUUUAGACUCAAGCAUGCUGGCAAAUGAAGCCAGUGUGUCGACAUCACAGAGGAAGCAGCAGGCAGAGUGUUGGUGGGCUGGAAGUAGGUGUUACAUGAAGAUUAACACCCACGAAGCUCAGGACUUGGCGGCGCUGGAAUGAAAGUUGGGUGAGUAAAUCUUAAUAUGUUAUAUUGAAUACAGCAUGUAUCUCUAUCAUAUGGUGCAUUCAGUCUAAAGCUGACAUUUUUCACAGCCGGUUCACUUUAACACUAUCCUUGGUUAAACUUGCAUGCUAAAUUAAAUUUUUGUUUCAUAUUUUAUUUUCAAAAGCAGAGCAUUGCCAGGAGUUUAAGGAACGUAUAAGGUCAAAUAAUAGACAUACUAUAACUUUGACGUGUCUGUUUACCAAAUGGUAUCCCUAAUAAGUAAGCACAGUGACACUAUGUCACCUUACUUAAAGGACCACUAUAGGCACCCAGACAACUCAAUUAAGUUGUCUGGGUGCCCGCUCCCUCUAGUUUUAACCCUGCAGCUGAAAACAUGGCAGUUUCAGAGAAACUGCUAUGUUUACACCAGGGUUAAUCCAGCCUCUAGUGAAAAUCACAGUGAGAAGACGCUGAUGUCCAUAGGAAAGCAUUGAGUAAUGCGUUCCUAUGGGCUGUUUAAAUGUGCGCGUGGCUCUGGCCGCGCAUGUGCAUUAGGCUCCACACAGGAGCCAACGUUGGAUGGGGAGGAGAAGUCACUAGUGCAGAGGGAGCCUGGCGUAUGAGGAAGGUAAGUGGCUGAAGGGAUUUUAACCCCUUCAGCCCAGCAGGAGGGGGGCCAUGAGGGUGGGGUGGACCUAAUGACCCUAUAGUGCCAGGAAAAAGAGUUUGUUUUCCUGGCACUAUAGUGGUCCUUUAACAGUGUCAAACAUUGGUGCUAUUUCUAACCCCAUCCCCGAACCCUUGCUCUGAUUUUGACACAAUGUACAACAUUUUGUGAGCACUCUGUACUGUGUGAUUACAGCAUAUGAAGGAUAUCUCCCGCUGCUUGCAAUUCAUCCCGAUCAGUCAUUGGUGCUCGGCAGCAGGCAGGCAGGCAUUCAGGGAGAACCUGUUAGACUCUUGUAAGUAUUGUUAGACCUAGUGGGUGUUCUUUUGAGUUGAGCAAGAUUGUAAUCCAUGGAAAUCCCUGCAGCUAAACACUUUUGUACAGCUACAAGGAUUUAAAGAAUGGCAUAGCACCCCCCCGCUGUCAUUAAAGGCACACCCUUCAGCUCAUUGUAGUGGUCUGGGUGUAGUGUCCCAG
Non-coding RNA from Pelobates cultripes (western spadefoot toad), 5817 nucleotides. NCBI's taxonomy places the organism in Eukaryota, Metazoa, Chordata, Amphibia, Anura, Pelobatidae. The record is from the annotation of a GenBank genome assembly.